Molecule: long non-coding RNA, 547 nt
Organism: Sardina pilchardus (European sardine)
Lineage: Eukaryota; Metazoa; Chordata; Actinopteri; Clupeiformes; Clupeidae
Exons: 4
Source: RefSeq, a predicted model, not a curated record
GCAAGCAGCAGAUUUUAUUUGAAUUUUCUCCCGGAGGAGCUGGAUCCUCUCGCUGCACUGCACACGUUAGAGAAGAAGAAAUAGAGGUAUCAGCACAACAUUUGUAAAGAUGUCCUGGCUCUCAACAAAGGCACCAGGCAGGAUUGUUUUUUCUCUUGCAUUCCCAUAAGCCUGACUUCCUGAUGUCCACUACACUCUGUUCUCAAUCUUCUCCAGUCUUUUGCAAACUGUGAUGUUCAGAUGUCCUAUAAGCCUGACUUCCUGAUGUCCACUACACUCCGUUCUCAACCUUCUCCGGUAUUCUGCAAACUGUGAAUGCCUCCUUGUGUUGGAUUCAUGAUGUUCACCAUACUGCACGGCCUACUUUUUUCUUCGCAAGCUAUGGAAAGAAACUCUGUUCAGCUCAUGAAACGGACUGUUCACAUUUUUUGACAUUUGUGGAGGAAGCAGGGUAUCCUGGUAAUUUUAUUUUGCAGCUACUAUGCUCUCGUCAUAGAUACCUUGCAUCCUACCCAGUGAGUACAUUAUACGAUUUUGAUUUCCAGUA